RNAcentral lists this ribosomal RNA (447 nucleotides) under uncultured bacterium. RNAcentral describes it as "partial 16S ribosomal RNA". It matches the Rfam family "Bacterial small subunit ribosomal RNA", at positions 29 to 523 of the family's 1533-position model. The record is from RNAcentral.
AGCGAACGCUGGCGGCAGGCUUAACACAUGCAAGUCGAACGCCCCGCAAGGGGAGUGGCAGACGGGUGAGUAACACGUGGGAACGUACCCUUUGGUUCGGAAUAACUUGGGGAAACUCAAGCUAAUACCGGAUAAGCCCUUAUGGGGAAAGGUUUACUGCCGAAGGAUCGGCCCGCGUCUGAUUAGCUAGUUGAUGAGGUAAUGGCUCACCAAGGCGACGAUCAGUAGCUGGUCUGAGAGGAUGAUCAGCCACACUGGGACUGAGACACGGCCCAGACUCCUACGGGAGGCAGCAGUGGGGAAUAUUGGACAAUGGGGGCAACCCUGAUCCAGCCAUGCCGCGUGAGUGAUGAAGGCCUUAGGGUUGUAAAGCUCUUUUACCCGGGACGAUAAUGACUGUACCGGGAGAAUAAGCCCCGGCUAACUUCGUGCCAGCAGCCGCCGCGG